AUAUAAGAAUGUAAGUAAGCCUCCAAAAUUACCAUUGAUGCGCGAUCCGGCAAAGGUACAGACGGAAUAUAACAACUAGGUAUCAUACUUUAUACUGUUAAAGUUCCAGAAGAUGAACACCGUGAGAGUAAAGCUUGAAUUUGUCGCGCCUGGUCACUACCCACCAGUUCCACCAGAGCUGACAUUGACAGUCCCUGAGGAAACCAAUUUGCACCAGAUCCUGAAUCAGGCAGCAAAACAAGAAACAGGCUACAACUUUACUGUAGUAUAUUAUCCGUCCGUUCCCGGUCACAUGAUAACAUCCAUCCGUGGGGUGGAAAAUGACCCUGCUGCUAACAAAUACUGGAUGAUCUACUCGACCCCACCAGGAGGACGGACCCCUACAGGAAUAGAUGAAUUUCAGCCAAUUGAUGGUUCUCUAAUCACUUUUAAGUAUGAGAUACCAGGCCCCUGUGACUAUUAAAAUUCAAGUACCGUCACCAUGGUAACACCCAUUUUUACAAUAAAUUCAAUUAGUUAGAAAUGCACUAUAAGUACCAUUUCUUCCGUUCUGUCAAAAACGUUAAACAUGAUUAAAGUUCUCUUAAAAAUAUA
Long non-coding RNA from Actinia tenebrosa (Australian red waratah sea anemone), 594 nucleotides. Lineage: Eukaryota; Metazoa; Cnidaria; Anthozoa; Actiniaria; Actiniidae. The record is from RefSeq and is a predicted model, not a curated record.